This 2685-nucleotide long non-coding RNA is filed under the name Helianthus annuus (common sunflower). RNAcentral's name for it is "hypothetical non coding rna". The record is from RNAcentral. Lineage: Eukaryota; Viridiplantae; Streptophyta; Magnoliopsida; Asterales; Asteraceae.
UUACACAUACUUAAUCACAAGUAAUGUGUAUUUCUAUUCUUUUUUUUAGGUUUGAUCAAUAACAUAUCUUGCCUUACCUUUCUUACUUAGUGUAUUUCCCGGGUUCGAGCGUAUUCAUACACUCCUCCCAUACAUCUUUCAUAUGUUUUUCAUUAUCAAAUUCUAUAAAUCUAUACUAAUUUAUAAACAGCUCUUACCGGAUGUCUUGAUCAAGCUUUGAACCGAAAACGCUUUAUCUUAACGAGGCUCUGAUUACCAACUUGUUAGACCCUUAUAGACCUUUGUAAAAUUCAUAAUAUUUCAAGUGCCAAUUUCACAAAACGACAUUUAUAUCAGAUUUCAAGAUAAAAAAAAACGUUCUUUAUCGUUUACAUAACAUAUCAUUAAAACACAACAUACUUCCUUUUAAACCCAUACACCUAUAUUUACAAAAGUAUGAUAACUCACUCUAAAGUUGUUGUGACAAAAGUCUCGAUUUAGUCGCGGAAGCUUUGAGUUAAGCGCGUAUUCGGUUCUGUUCUACACUUGAUCGCCAUCCGUUUACAUCAUACUAUUAGCUACAAUCAAAAACACCCAAAUUCGUUAGCUUAGAAUAUUUAAGACUUGGCUUAAGGGUUCAGGAGGUUAAAAUGCAUAACAGCAACACUUCAGCGAUUUUUAACCUCGUCGCGUGACGCAACGGGAGAAGCAGAUAAGGGUCGAGUGACGCGACCAAGGUCGCGGGCCGCGACGGCCAACAACGUUUGUCGUGGCGUGGCGCGAGCAUGUCUUUUUGACAGAACUGUUGUUUAAACAUCCUGCAUAUUCCCAGCUUCGCUAAUAGUUACUAAAACGGUCAUAACUUCUCCGUUAUUGAUCCGAAUUAGGUCCCGUUUCUUCCUACAUGACCGUAAUUCGAUAUUCUAUAACAUAGAAUGAAAAUACUACAUUCACAAGAACAAAUUUCUUUCAUUUGAGCACUCGGAAUAUUAAUAUUUUCAUAAUUAUUCGACCCAUUCCAAAUUACAACCCAUAGACUUCAUUUAUAAAUUCCAAAACCUCUAUAGGCUUACAUAUCAACCUAUUCAUAUUUUUAUGACCAGUUUUAUUAAAACUCAAGUAUCAUUAACGAGAUAUAUACGUAUUAAUUAACCCGUUUAUCCCACUUAACUACAUUCAUCGAUUUAACUUAUCCCAAGCUUAAUGCCUUGGUGAUUUUCGACCCGUUUGAUUUCUCUAGCGAAUUUCAUCGUCUUCCUGAAAUCAACCAUGUAACAUUCGAGUCAACUUGACCUGUUUAACUUUCAAGUGGAAUCCACCACUUUCCAAAUUUUUAUUUUCUCGAAAUUUAUACUUUUUCUUGUUGGAUAUUACAAACGAAAUCCUUCGUUUUUGUGUUAUCCAACAUUAUAAAGAUUUGAUUAUCAUUCAACCAUUAAGCAUAAAAGUGCUAAUACAAGAUAUUACGAAGCGAGUAGUCGCGUACCUUUCAAAGCUUUCCUUUUAGGAGAGUAUCCGUUCCGCCUUGCCCACUUGAUGAUCCACCCAAAUCACCUAUAUAGUUUGAUCCGAAUAUAUAGUUUAGAACUCAUAGUUCAAUAUUCGAUAUCUCAUUCACUUGAUUAAUUCAUUAAGCGGUUACUUCGUAUAUUUCAAGCAUUCCCAUUCAAUCAAGCAUUUUAUCAAACAUCUAGAGUGCAUAAUUUGUGUUCUUACACUAUCAUGUUCAUGGUUAAUAAUUUUAACCAAAUUUAAGUAUAGUAAUUCCAUUCAUAUAUCAAGAACACCAUAAUUACACUAGAAUUUGCAUCAUAAGCAUCAAUUAACAUUCAAUAACACAAAAAUAUAUGUAUUCUUUACAAUACCCAUAUACCCUUAUGUAAUUAACAUUAAAACUCAUAGAUUAUACCAUGAAUUAUGAAUUGAUAAUUUCAUUGUCUAAGAUUAGUUCCUAGACUUGUAUUCAUCAAGAUUUAACCCUAACAUCCAUUAAUUUACCAUUAAUUUCUGUUAUAAGAAUUCAAAAUCAUAAAAACAUCUUCAUAAUUCAAAAUUAAGCAUACCUUUCGAUCCCCCAGUGAUAGUGAUCUAGCUUAAUUUUAACUCCUGAUUGAAUUCUUUCUUGGAUUUGAAGUAGUUUUGAGUGAAUUAGGGUUUUGAAGAACUUUGGGGUCGCUCAUGAGGAUUUCGAUCGAAAAGGGAAUACACACAAGAAUUGCACAAUUGGUACCCCAAGUUUCUAAGUUAUCACAAUGGUUAUAAUUCUUGAUUUCCCCAUCUUUUCUUAUUAAGAAUUUAACUAGGUUAAUUAUGCCUAGUUUACAUUCUCAUUAUUUUAUGAUUAUUAUUCUAACUUAUACAUGUAUAACGACAUAUAUAGUUUAAUAAAAUUUAGGGGUGUUACAUAUUAAAAAGCUAUAUAUUAUUUUAAAUUUGAAAUUACUAUUCAUCAUCCUUGGAUAGAAAGCUAAAUCAUUAGAAUCGGUUCAGUUUAUCAUUGUAUCAUUUUACGAUAGCAAAUAAAUACUUUAUUUUUAAUAUAAAUUCGUUUUUAAUAAAACUUAUAUUAAUCGAGGGUAAAAAGUAAGCUCAACUACGUACUUAAGUUUAUAGAAGAAAAAAUAACGAACAUAAUUUAUUAAAGAAAUGUCAAAUUAAUUGAUGAAGUAAAGAUGAAUUUAAAAAAAUGAAGAAAAUAUUAUUAAA